Molecule: ribosomal RNA, 460 nt
Filed under: uncultured bacterium
Lineage: Bacteria
Description: partial 16S ribosomal RNA
Rfam family: Bacterial small subunit ribosomal RNA
Source: RNAcentral
CCUACGGGUGGCAGCAGUGAGGAAUAUUGGUCAAUGGGCGUAAGCCUGAACCAGCCAAGUCGCGUGAGGGAUGAAGGUUCUAUGGAUCGUAAACUUCUUUUAUAAGGGAAUAAAGUGCGGGACGUGUGCCGUGUUGUAUGUACUUUAUGAAUAAGGAUCGGCUAACUCCGUGCCAGCAGCCGCGGUAAUACGGAGGAUCCGAGCGUUAUCCGGAUUUAUUGGGUUGAAAGGGUGCGUAGGCGGCCUUUUAAGUCAGCGGUGAAAGUCUGUGGCUCAACCGUAGAAUGGCCGUUGAAACUGGGAGGCUUGAGUAUGUUUGAGGCAGGCGGAAUGCGUGGUGUAGCGGUGAAAUGCUUAGAUAUCACGCAGAACCCCGAUUGCGAAGGCAGCCUACCAAGCCAUGACUGACGCUGAUGCACGAAAGCGUGGGGAUCAAACAGGAUUAGAUACCCCUGUAGUC